Molecule: long non-coding RNA, 2654 nt
Filed under: Salmo salar (Atlantic salmon)
Lineage: Eukaryota; Metazoa; Chordata; Actinopteri; Salmoniformes; Salmonidae
Description: lncRNA (ENSSSAG00000098658.1)
Source: RNAcentral
AGUGGCCAAAGCCCGCGAACAGGAAUAUUCCAAGUUCAGACAGAAGGGGGAGUCAGAUCGCUAUGAUCGCCAGGAACUUUACUUUUUGAGUCCAUUUUUAAUUGUUGCGCUACUGGUGCUGCCUGUUGAUGUUAGAUAGGCAGCUACAGUAGCUGAAUGAUGUUAACAUCUUCGGGUUUUGUUUCAUUAAAUGUAUUUUAUUUCAUCUGGGUGCUUGCAUCACCUACUAACACCCUGGUACUACCCGUAGCUCACGUUCUCAGUCCGAGAAAACACAGAGAGAGAAAGAACAACUUUUCAGAUGGUGCAUUGGAGACUGAUGUGUUCCUGUCCUGUCUUUUCACAAUACUAUUGCAGCUGUGCUAAUGAAGACGGGAUGCAGAUGAGGGCGGAGGUCAUCUCCGUAGCGUUCGACCCCAGCACCCGCAGCAUGCCACUCUGACUGCCACAGGUUGAAGUCACACCCAAGUUAAUUCUUCAAUUAGCAUGAGCCAGAUAUUCGAGGAAGAUCGGAGGGCCCGCCAAUCGAUGUCCAAUUAGCGAGGCCUCGUGGACCAGAGACGAGACUGUUUUAUGGGCUUUGAUGAGGAUGAUGGUGCUGCCACUAACAUACAUGAUGAAACAAGGUUUCCCUAUCUCCUUGCUCCACUUCCACAGCCCAAUCUGCCCUCACCCCCACCCCUCGGCUCAUUCGCAGGCAUCAGGUUUGUCUGCGGCUCAGUGGCCAUGGCGACAGUGUUGUCGGUGGGAGAUCGUGGGGUCAGGGGCCAAUCGCAGGUCACGUAGUUGACUAUCUGUCUGUGUCACAGGGUGGUCACCUUUGACCCGUGCCUUGCAGCCCCGUCUGAAAGAUGAGACAGAGAGCAGUUGUUUCGUGAGACAUCCAAGAGGAUAAAUGUCUGUUUGUUUAAACACCCAAGCCAGUCAUUCUAUCAUUUGAAGCAUUCACAUCACAGCGCAAUGCCCCUGCCCAGUAAAAACGAGUAUUAUUUCUCCCUUGAACUAAUGCACAGAGCCCUGCUGUUCUAACUGUCAUCUGUUAAAUUUCAGGACGUAACCUUGAGUCUAGCGUCUCCCCCCAUCUCCCCCUGGCUUUCAGCAAGCCCAUGGCAUCUUCAGAGGUUGGAGACUCUUGAAGUGUGAUCCAUUUAGAUAGUGGUUACUUUCUUCCUGUGCACACAACCACUCGCACACACACACACACACACACACACACACACACACACACACACACACACACACACACACACACACACACACACACACACACACACACGUGUGCCCGGACAAACACACACACACACAAUCACGUACACGCAGUCAUGCAGUUUUUUUGGUUGAAAGUCAUCCCAGAUAAGCUUGACAGACAGGUAGUAAAUGUUUGGAAAGUGUAUGUCGUGAGUCUGCUAAAUGACUCAAAUGUAAAUGUAAAUGUUAUGGUUAUAUGCUUCUUUAGGUACAUUUAUACUAUUUACAGUUUUAAAAUAGACAAGCAAUAACACCAUUAUAGUGUUUUAUUUUCAGGGUUUCAACUUCGAUCAGUUUCAAUGCCUGCUCAUUGCCUUCGACUUCAUUCAAAUACAUUCUGUUGUCCAAAUCAUCCCCAUAUGGUCCAUAUCAUCCCCCGUACGCUGUAUGUGAAGGUUUACAUUGAACAUUCCAGCCUUGUAUAUCAUCUCACUUACAUUCGCCUCACUCCAGCCCCACAUCUCCCCAUGCUCCAUCCCUCUAUUUUCUUAUGUUUUCCUCCUCUCCUCUCUCUCUCUCUAUUUCUCUCUCUCUCUCUCUCUCUCUCUCUAUUUCUCUAUUCCUCUCUCUCUAUUUCUCUUUUUCUCUUUUUCUCUAUUCCUCUCUCUUUUCUCUCUCUCUCUCUCUCUCUCUCUCUCUCUCUCUCUCUCUCUCUAUUUCUCUAUUCCUCUCUCUCUAUUUCUCUUUUUCUCUAUUCCUCUCUUUCGCUCUCUUUUUCUCUCUCUCUCUCUCUCUCUCUCUCUCUUUUUCUCUCUCUUUCUAUCUCUCUGUCUUUCUAUCGGUCUCUCUUUUCUCUGGCUCCUCUGGCUGGUCCCCCUGUGGCACACCGUGUCGUGUCCCUAAUUUAUUUAUAAUUAGUGCUCUUUGUCGGGAUGCGCGGGGAAUGUUAAAGUACAAGCCACUCCGCUCUGGGUACAAAUGGGCUAGUGUUCCUGCCUCUCCUCAACCCACCAACAUAGCGACCCACCGGCCAGUAGGGAGAGCUCUGCUGCUAGCCGCAACCACAGCCCCAGACAAAGGCCAGCACCUUCGGACGCAGCGGCACACACACGCGUACACGCACGGACGGACGCGGGCAUAUGCACACACGCUCACACAGAUCUACCGGUAAAUGGUUGAGACUGAACGGAAAGCGACGUACAGACUGCUUUUCUGCGUUAGUAAUAGGUGUUUGUUAUUGCGUUGCAAUUUUGAACAUUAUUUAGGGCGUAUUUGAAAAGGGUCCUGAGUGAAAUGUGAACGUGUUAGUGCAGAGUGUUCGUUUCUAGGUUUGCUUUGGUUGUUGGUGUAGAAAGACUGGGUAUGAAUUAUCACUGUUAGCAUUUCUUAUCACGUCUAUUAACGUCAACUCUGUCAUACUUCAUUAACCUCACCAAGAAUGGCAGUAGUGACAGGACACACACACA